Dendroctonus ponderosae (mountain pine beetle) is the source of this 165-nucleotide long non-coding RNA. RefSeq lists it as uncharacterized. Lineage: Eukaryota; Metazoa; Arthropoda; Insecta; Coleoptera; Curculionidae. The record is from RefSeq and is a predicted model, not a curated record. The transcript is spliced from 2 exons.
UGUUUUAUAAUGUUUUAUUAGUUAGUUAGUAUUUUUGUUGUUUUGUUCUUAUCCAAUUGUCCACCUUUUUCGACAAUGACAGUAUCAGAUGUACGACCACCAAAGCCAGGUGAAAUAAAGGGUAGACACCGUAGUACUGCUACACUCAGGCCCCAGACAAUAUUU